CAGCCAUCGGGACCCGGGGAACCCCCACACAGUACCCGUGUCUAGAACGGUCGAAUGAGCGAACACUGCCGCCAAAUGUGAUAUACUGUGCCUUCUUCUCUCAUGCAUCUCCAGCACCGGUCGCUUACACCGGGGAAAUGUGUCCUGUACCACAUGGCUACUUUCUUAUAAAACCUUUCUCUCUGUGCAACACUAAUAGAGUAUUUCAUUACUUGUCCCAUAAUGUAUUCCCAGUCUUUGUGGGUUAACUGUACUUUAAGGAUGGAGCACCAUUUAGCCCAGUAUGGUGGGGAAGGGUUCUCAGGGUAGUGGUUUUUGUAUCCGAGCGCAGAAAGAGGUCUGUGCAGUCUGGUGCCCGAAGUGCACAGCUUCUCAAAGGGGGUCAGGUCCCUCUCUUCCCAGGCUGGUAGUAUGUAUUUCUUUAAAUAAAUGGACAGCUGGGAAUAUUGCAUCACCUCUAGGAGAGAAGCUAGACUGCUGCCACUUCUGAGAUAUAUUAGGGCAGGGAGACUAGAGCCUUCUGUUACCCAUCCUAUCCUCAUGUUCUCACUCCCCAGGAGACUUUUGAUGGAUUCUUCUCCCCUUCCUUGUUGGAAAACUGGGUUGUGGGCUAUCGGACAUAGAGGCGUCCCAGGGAACAUCUUACAAAUAGUUUUAAUUUUCCUCCGUGUAUGAAGAAUGUGGCCCAGAAAGGGGUGGGAAGUCUGCACUAGUUUACUUAGAUGGCGUGUUUGCCACGGUAAAGUCUCCAAAGGGGCUGUGGCAAAACCCUGUUCCAAGUCAUACCAUGCCCUGGGGAACCACCUAUCUGCCCACUCUUUCAAGCGUACCAUAAGUGCUGCAAUGUAAUAGUGGUACCCGUGAGGUAACCCCAAUCCCCUUCUUUCUCCCGGUGCCAUCAGUACUUUAUAAGAGAUGCG
Molecule: non-coding RNA, 920 nt
Organism: Pelobates cultripes (western spadefoot toad)
Lineage: Eukaryota; Metazoa; Chordata; Amphibia; Anura; Pelobatidae
Source: the annotation of a GenBank genome assembly